Molecule: ribosomal RNA, 482 nt
Filed under: uncultured bacterium
Lineage: Bacteria
Description: partial 16S ribosomal RNA
Rfam family: Bacterial small subunit ribosomal RNA
Source: RNAcentral
AUUGAACGCUGGCGGCAUGCUUUACACAUGCAAGUCGAACGGUAACAGGCCGCAAGGUGCUGACGAGUGGCGAACGGGUGAGUAAUGCAUCGGAACGUGCCCAGUCGUGGGGGAUAACUACUCGAAAGAGUAGUUAAUACCGCAUACGAUCUAUGGAUGAAAGCGGGGGACGGUAAGGCCUAGCGCGGUUGGAGCGGCCGAUGUCGGAUGAGGUAGUUGGUGGGGGAAAGGUUGACCAAGCCAACGAUCUGUAGCUGGUCUGAGAGGACGACCAGCCACACUGGGACUGAGACACGGCCCAGACUCCUACGGGAGGCAGCAGUGGGGAAUUUUGGGCAAUGGGCGCAAGCCUGAUCCAGCAAUGCCGCGUGCAGGAAGAGGGCCUUCGGGUUGUAAACUGCUUUUGUACGGAACGAAACGGCUCUGGUUAAUACCCGGGGCUAAUGACGGUACCGUAAGAAUAAGCACCGGCUAACUACGUG